RNAcentral lists this ribosomal RNA (415 nucleotides) under uncultured bacterium. RNAcentral describes it as "bacterial SSU rRNA". It matches the Rfam family "Bacterial small subunit ribosomal RNA", at positions 361 to 774 of the family's 1533-position model. The record is from RNAcentral.
AUAUUGGUCGAUGGACGCAAGUCUGAACCAGCCAUGCCGCGUGAAGGAUGAAGGUCCUCUGGAUUGUAAACUUCUUUUAUCUGGGACGAAAACGGGAUUUUUAUCUCAAUUGACGGUACCAGAGGAAUAAGCACCGGCUAACUCCGUGCCAGCAGCCGCGGUAAUACGGAUGGUGCGAGCGUUAUCCGGAUUUACUGGGUUUAAAGGGUGCGUAGGUGGGCUUAUAAGUCAGUGGUGAAAUCUCCGAGCUUAACUUGGAAACUGCCGUUGAUACUAUAGGUCUUGAAUUAUCUGGAGGUAAGCGGAAUAUGUCAUGUAGCGGUGAAAUGCUUAGAUAUGACAUAGAACACCAAUUGCGAAGGCAGCUUACUACAUAUAAAUUGACGCUGAGGCACGAAAGCGUGGGGAUCAAACA